GAGUAAGAACUACAGGAUUCCCUAGUAACUGCGAGUGAAGCGGGAAAAGCUCAAAUUUAAAAUCUGGCAGCUUUGGCUGUCCGAGUUGUAGUCUGGAGAAGCGUUUUCUGUGCUGGACCGUGUACAAGUCUCUUGGAACAGAGCGUCGUAGAGGGUGAGAAUCCCGUCUUUGACACGGACUCCCAGUGCUUUGUGAUGCGCUCUCAAAGAGUCGAGUUGUUUGGGAAUGCAGCUCAAAAUGGGUGGUAAAUUCCAUCUAAAGCUAAAUAUUGGCGAGAGACCGAUAGCGAACAAGUACCGUGAGGGAAAGAUGAAAAGCACUUUGGAAAGAGAGUUAAACAGUACGUGAAAUUGCUGAAAGGGAAACGAUUGAAGUCAGUCGCGUCGGCCAGAACUCAGCCUGGCUUUUGCCUGGUGCAUUUUCUGGUUGACGGGCCAGCAUCAAUUUUGAUCGCUGGAUAAAGGCCUUGGGAAUGUGGCACCUUCGGGUGUGUUAUAGCCCUUGGUUGUAUACAGUGGUUGGGAUUGAGGAUCACAGCAUGCCUUUACGGCCGGGGUUCGCCCACGUUCAUGCUUAGGAUGCUGGCGUAAUGGCUUUAAACGACCCGUCUUGAAACACGGACCAAGGAGUCUAACAUGCCUGCGAGUGUUUGGGUGGAAAACCCGAGCGCGCAAUGAAAGUGAAAGUUGGGAUCCCUGUCGCGGGGAGCACCGACGCCCGGACCAGACCUUUUGUGACGGAUCCGCGGUAGAGCAUGUAUGUUGGGACCCGAAAGAUGGUGAACUAUGCCUGAAUAGGGUGAAGCCAGAGGAAACUCUGGUGGAGGCUCGUAGCGAUUCUGACGUGCAAAUCGAUCGUCAAA
RNAcentral lists this ribosomal RNA (863 nucleotides) under Antrodiella stipitata. RNAcentral's name for it is "eukaryotic LSU rRNA". It matches the Rfam family "Eukaryotic large subunit ribosomal RNA", at positions 56 to 909 of the family's 3401-position model. Lineage: Eukaryota; Fungi; Basidiomycota; Agaricomycetes; Polyporales; Steccherinaceae. The record is from RNAcentral.